RNAcentral lists this long non-coding RNA (361 nucleotides) under Homo sapiens (human). RNAcentral describes it as "non-protein coding lnc-C2orf74-5:12". The record is from RNAcentral. Lineage: Eukaryota; Metazoa; Chordata; Mammalia; Primates; Hominidae.
GAGUCCGGGUUGGAGUGCAAUGACGUGAUCUCGGCUCACCGCAACCUUUGCCUCGUGGGUUCAAGCAAUUCUCUUGCCUCAGCCUCUCAAGUAGCUGCGAAUACAGCUGUGCGCCACCACGCCUGGCUAAUUUUUGUAUUAUUAGUAGAGACGGGGGUUUCACCAUGUUGGCCGUGCUAGUCUCAAACUCCCGACAUCAGGUGACCCACCCACCUUGGCCUCCCAAAGUGCUGGGAUUACAGGCAUGAGCAACUGCGCCCAGCCUAGACGGAGUCUCGCUCUGUCACCCAAGCUGGAAUGCCGUGGCGCAAUCUUAGUUCACUGCAACCUCUGCCUCCUCGGUCCAAGCCAUUCUCCUGCC